Molecule: ribosomal RNA, 301 nt
Filed under: uncultured bacterium
Lineage: Bacteria
Description: partial 16S ribosomal RNA
Rfam family: Bacterial small subunit ribosomal RNA
Source: RNAcentral
CAGCCGCCACGGGAAUACGAAGGGUGCAAGCGUUAAUCGGAAUUACUGGGCGUAAAGCGUGCGUAGGCGGUUUGUUAAGUCUGUUGUGAAAUCCCCGGGCUCAACCUGGGAAUGGCAAUGGAUACUGGCAAGCUAGAGUGUGUCAGAGGAUGGUGGAAUUCCCGGUGUAGCGGUGAAAUGCGUAGAGAUCGGGAGGAACAUCAGUGGCGAAGGCGGCCAUCUGGGGCAACACUGACGCUGAGGCACGAAAGCGUGGGGAGCAAACAGGAUUAGAUACCCCCGUAGUCCCUGUCUCUUAUAC